Molecule: ribosomal RNA, 817 nt
Filed under: uncultured Verrucomicrobiaceae bacterium
Lineage: Bacteria; Pseudomonadati; Verrucomicrobiota; Verrucomicrobiia; Verrucomicrobiales; Verrucomicrobiaceae
Description: bacterial SSU rRNA
Rfam family: Bacterial small subunit ribosomal RNA
Source: RNAcentral
UGCAGUCGCACGGGACUAUUUGAGUAGCAAUACAAGAAUAGUUUAGUGGCGCACGGGUGAGUAACACGUGAAUUACAUGCCCUGCAGAGGGGGAUAGCCCAGGGAAACUUGGAUUAAUACCCCAUGGUAUCGCAAGAUUAAAGGUGGCCGCAAGGCUGUCGCUGCAGGAUUGGUUCGCGCCCUAUCAGCUUGUUGGUGAGGUAACGGCUCACCAAGGCUACGACGGGUACCUGGUCUGAGAGGACGAUCAGGCACACUGGAACUGAGACACGGUCCAGACACCUACGGGUGGCAGCAGUCGAGAAUAAUUCACAAUGGGGGCAACCCUGAUGGUGCAACGCCGCGUGGAGGAUGAAGGUCUUCGGAUUGUAAACUCCUGUCAUCCGGGAGUAAGACCUGGCGAUGAAUAGUCGACAGGGUUGAUAGUACCGGAAGAGGAAGGGACGGCUAACUUCGUGCCAGCAGCCGCGGUAAUACGAAGGUCCCGAGCGUUGUUCGGAAUCACUGGGCGUAAAGGGAGCGUAGGCGGCGUGGUAAGUCAGAUGUGAAAUCCCGGGGCUCAACCCCGGAACUGCAUCCGAUACUGCCGUGCUAGAGGAUUGGAGAGGUAGCUGGAAUUCACGGUGUAGCAGUGAAAUGCGUAGAUAUCGUGAGGAACACUCGUGGCGAAAGCGAGCUACUGGACAACUCCUGACGCUGAGGCUCGAAGGCCAGGGUAGCGAAAGGGAUUAGAUACCCCUGUAGUCCUGGCAGUAAACGGUGCACGCUUGGUGUGAGGGGAAUCGACCCCCCUUGUGCCGGAGCUAACGCGUUAAGC